AAAGCAUAUCAAUAAGCGGAGGAAAAGAAACCAACAGGGAUUGCCUCAGUAACGGCGAGUGAAGCGGCAACAGCUCAAAUUUGAAAUCUGGCUCUCGGGCCCGAGUUGUAAUUUGCAGAGGGUGUUUCGAGCGAGAUGCCGGCCUAAGUCCCUUGGAACAGGGCGUCAUGGAGGGUGAGAAUCCCGUCUGCGGCCGGUGGUCAAGUUCAUGUGAAACCCCUUCGACGAGUCGAGUUGUUUGGGAAUGCAGCUCAAAAUGGGUGGUAAAUUCCAUCUAAAGCUAAAUACCGGCCAGAGACCGAUAGCGCACAAGUAGAGUGAUCGAAAGAUGAAAGCACUUUGAAAGAGAGUUAAACAGUAUGUGAAAUUGUUGAAGGGAAGCGCUUGCGAUCAGACUUGCACCAGGUGAUCACCGANCUUCUGGCCGGUGCACUCGCCCUGGUUCNGNAGCAUCGGUCUGGGCGUCGAUACAGUCGGAGAUG
Molecule: ribosomal RNA, 482 nt
Filed under: Agyrium rufum
Lineage: Eukaryota; Fungi; Ascomycota; Lecanoromycetes; Pertusariales; Pertusariaceae
Description: eukaryotic LSU rRNA
Rfam family: Eukaryotic large subunit ribosomal RNA
Source: RNAcentral